This is a long non-coding RNA of Limulus polyphemus (Atlantic horseshoe crab), 178 nucleotides long. RefSeq lists it as uncharacterized. The record is from RefSeq and is a predicted model, not a curated record. The transcript is spliced from 3 exons. Lineage: Eukaryota; Metazoa; Arthropoda; Merostomata; Xiphosura; Limulidae.
GAAGGCUUAAUGCUAAAAUCUCUAGAUUAUAUACACUUAUUUUGCAACAAUUUAUUUUGCUUAUUAGAACGCCACGUCGUCUUCCACCAAUUAUGGAAACAACAGAUAAAACUAGUGAGUCACCCUCCAAUAGCCACUGUCUGAACUCUAUUCAAUCUACAUCAAUCGUUUUGUCAGA